CCCAGUUGCCUGUCUCUUCUAUCUGGUGUCACUGCUGCACGAAAACGUGGUGUUCUCUCUCCCAGGUUCACUCAUAUCAAGGAGGCGCUAGCCAAGCAAUCCUGUUAGAAAGUCAGCCCUAGUGACUAGGAGACGUGAGGGUGGAAAGGGGAGAUGUGAAGAGCCAAAGCGACGGUCCUCAAUCAAAGCAGAGGCCCCAGGACUCCAUGAUCAAGCAGAGGACUGACCUAAAACCCAAAGGCAUCCCACCACAGGAACAGGAUGAUGCUGUCCUGCAGAUAUGGAGUGAACCUGAUCCAGAACAUUUAACCAAGGAAACAGGCAGUGAAGCAUGAAGUUCAAUUCAUAGAC
Symphalangus syndactylus (siamang) is the source of this 351-nucleotide long non-coding RNA. RefSeq lists it as uncharacterized. The record is from RefSeq and is a predicted model, not a curated record. Lineage: Eukaryota; Metazoa; Chordata; Mammalia; Primates; Hylobatidae.